RNAcentral lists this long non-coding RNA (1052 nucleotides) under Fukomys damarensis (Damara mole-rat). RNAcentral describes it as "lncRNA (ENSFDAG00000031920.1)". Lineage: Eukaryota; Metazoa; Chordata; Mammalia; Rodentia; Bathyergidae. The record is from RNAcentral.
GGCCUCCAGGACUCCCAUAAGUCAUCGGGGCCUAGCACAGCAGGGAACGCGUCACCACCCUGAUCGGCCAGAGCUAGCACUGGGCCCCACCUGCUAUUCACUGCUCAGAACUUCACCCCGAGUAGCUGUCUGCUGUCUGCCGGAGCUUUCUGUGAACCGCUGAUGUGUGUGUUCCCCUGAUCUCUGCAGGCUCUCUCAACCUCCUUCUCAGUUCACUGGGCAAACGCUGCUGUAGAUUCCGGACGUGGUUGGUGGUGAGCAUGGGGUGGGGUGGGGGGUGGGGUCCCCUCCUUAGGCCACGCCCCCAGCCAAAGCGAGCAGGCCUUGGCCAGGGACCCGACUCAGGGCCUCCGAGGGGGUGGACUGAGCUCGGAGAGUUGGGCUCAGCUGGGUAAGCGGUCAGCGCCGUCCGUGCCUCGGCCUGGCCCACUGCUCUUCUAUGGACCGCAGCUCGUCUACCUUCUCUCACCAGCCUCUUCCUGCUCUGUCUGUCUUACGUGUUCGUCACCCUGAGUCGGGCUGCGCAACCUUCAUUCCAAAACAUAGAUCCGCACGCAUCCCUUGAAGAUCCUCACUGCCUGUAGCACGAAACCCCUUCACCCAGUGCCCACUGGGGGUGCAGGCGAGGGUGCGGCCCAUCUCUCAUCUAUCCAAGCUGUCAUCUCUCUCCCGACUCUCACCCCGCCCACACUCACUGCGCUCAGUCUCUCUUCUGCCCCCUGCUGACUCCAGGGCCUCUACAGCCUAGACCUGUGCUCCCUCACAGGGUAGCUUUUGCCCGGACUCCUCUGCAACUCCGGCCUUGGAGGUGGCUGUGGGUCCCUGCCACUCCCUCGCUGAGCUUUCCCUGACUCCCAGUGGAUGAAAUGAGUGGUUUCCUUGGCAGAGCUUCCCCAACAGUCUUCUUCCAAGGGUCCUGGGACUUCUGGUUCAUGAUCAGCUGGAGACAGGUGAGCCCUGCACGAGCUCCCGAGGCCUCAGUCCAUGCUGACCUUGCCCUUUGCAGAGAGGAGUCAUCUCCGAGGGCACGAGGUGGGUUUGGGAGCUUUCUG